GAGUAACACGUGGGCAACCUGCCUGUAAGACUGGGAUAACUUGGGGAAACCGGAGCUAAUACCGGAUAAUCCUUUCCCUCACAUGAGGGAAAGCUGAAAGACGGUUUCGGCUGUCACUUACAGAUGGGCCCGCGGCGCAUUAGCUAGUUGGUGAGGUAAUGGCUCACCAAGGCAACGAUGCGUAGCCGACCUGAGAGGGUGAUCGGCCACACUGGGACUGAGACACGGCCCAGACUCCUACGGGAGGCAGCAGUAGGGAAUCUUCCGCAAUGGACGAAAGUCUGACGGAGCAACGCCGCGUGAGCGAUGAAGGCCUUCGGGUCGUAAAGCUCUGUUGUCAGGGAAGAACAAGUAUCGGAGUAACUGCCGGUACCUUGACGGUACCUGACCAGAAAGCCACGGCUAACUACGUGCCAGCAGCCGCGGUAAUACGUAGGUGGCAAGCGUUGUCCGGAAUUAUUGGGCGUAAAGCGCGCGCAGGCGGUUCCUUAAGUCUGAUGUGAAAGCCCCCGGCUCAACCGGGGAGGGUCAUUGGAAACUGGGGAACUUGAGUGCAGAAGAGGAGAGCGGAAUUCCACGUGUAGCGGUGAAAUGCGUAGAGAUGUGGAGGAACACCAGUGGCGAAGGCGGCUCUCUGGUCUGUAACUGACGCUGAGGCGCGAAAGCGUGGGGAGCGAACAGGAUUAGAUACCCUGGUAGUCCACGCCGUAAACGAUGAGUGCUAAGUGUUAGAGGGUUUCCGCCCUUUAGUGCUGCAGCAAACGCAUUAAGCACUCCGCCUGGGGAGUACGGCCGCAAGGCUGAAACUCAAAGGAAUUGACGGGGGCCCGCACAAGCGGUGGAGCAUGUGGUUUAAUUCGAAGCAACGCGAAGAACCUUACCAGGUCUUGACAUCCUCUGACAACCCUAGAGAUAGGGCUUUCCCCUUCGGGGGACAGAGUGACAGGUGGUGCAUGGUUGUCGUCAGCUCGUGUCGUGAGAUGUUGGGUUAAGUCCCGCAACGAGCGCAACCCUUGAUCUUAGUUGCCAGCAUUAAGUUGGGCACUCUAAGGUGACUGCCGGUGACAAACCGGAGGAAGGUGGGGAUGACGUCAAAUCAUCAUGCCCCUUAUGACCUGGGCUACACACGUGCUACAAUGGAUGGAACAAAGGGCAGCGAAGCCGCGAGGUGAAGCCAAUCCCAUAAAACCAUUCUCAGUUCGGAUUGCAGGCUGCAACUCGCCUGCAUGAAGCCGGAAUCGCUAGUAAUCGCGGAUCAGCAUGCCGCGGUGAAUACGUUCCCGGGCCUUGUACACACCGCCCGUCACACCACGAGAGUUUGUAACACCCGAAGUCGGUGGGGUAACCUUUUGGAGCCAGCC
This 1361-nucleotide ribosomal RNA is filed under the name Mesobacillus thioparans. Its description in RNAcentral is "bacterial SSU rRNA". It matches the Rfam family "Bacterial small subunit ribosomal RNA", at positions 108 to 1454 of the family's 1533-position model. Lineage: Bacteria; Bacillati; Bacillota; Bacilli; Caryophanales; Bacillaceae. The record is from RNAcentral.